This 253-nucleotide ribosomal RNA is filed under the name uncultured bacterium. RNAcentral's name for it is "partial 16S ribosomal RNA". It matches the Rfam family "Bacterial small subunit ribosomal RNA", at positions 524 to 776 of the family's 1533-position model. The record is from RNAcentral.
UACGUAGGGCGCAAGCGUUGUCCGGAAUUAUUGGGCGUAAAGAGCUCGUAGGCGGCUUGUCACGUCGGGUGCGAAAGCCCGGGGCUUAACCCCGGGUCUGCAUUCGAUACGGGCUAGCUAGAGUGUGGUAGGGGAGAUCGGAAUUCCUGGUGUAGCGGUGAAAUGCGCAGAUAUCAGGAGGAACACCGGUGGCGAAGGCGGAUCUCUGGGCCAUUACUGACGCUGAGGAGCGAAAGCGUGGGGAGCGAACAGG